Molecule: long non-coding RNA, 1504 nt
Organism: Galeopterus variegatus (Sunda flying lemur)
Lineage: Eukaryota; Metazoa; Chordata; Mammalia; Dermoptera; Cynocephalidae
Exons: 6
Source: RefSeq, a predicted model, not a curated record
UAAGCUCGGAGGGUUUUUCUUUCUUUCUUUUUCCUUUUCUUUUUUUCCUUAUGAAAACGUUUUGUAGAGCUUGCAGGAAAAGACAUAUCUGGACUCAUUUUACUUUUGUUUUUGGUUUGCAGGAGGGUUUUUCACUAGAGAUUCAAACACUUUAAUGGUUGUGGGACUAUGAUGUUUUUCUCUUUCUUUUUUGACUCGGUUCCUAGGAAUUUGAUCAGCUUAUAUGGAAGAUCCAAGGUGAAUGGAUAGCAUCCUACUUGAAAGAGGAAAGACGAAGAGUACUGAUAGCUUUGGGCGAGAUCCCUUGGGGAGAAGGCCCUGCACAUAGCUGGCAAGUAGGACUGAUGCUGGUAGCCUCUGGAGACUACAAUCAUCCCUCAGUAUCCACUGCAGAUUGGUUCCAGAACUCCUGGCCUAUACCCAAAUCCAGCAAUACUCAAGUUCCACAGUUGGCUCUGUGGAACUGCAGAUAUGAAGUCAGCCCUCCACACAUGUUGAUUCCACAUCCCACCAAGACUGUGUUUUCCAUCCAUGGAUGGCUGAAAAAAAAUCUGCAUUGAUGCUAAAUUGGGGACUUCCAAUACUGUAGCACAAACUUAUAUCAAAACACAUUGAUCAUUAAAUUCUGCAGGAAGCAGCAAGUGGUAUCUGAAGUCCCUGCUGAGGACACCGUAAGAUUUGAUGCACUGAGACUUAAGGUGGAAGUCUGUGCAUAUUGACAUGUGUGUAAUGGAAAGGCACCACAUGAGGCCCGCGUUUGUAUUUAUACGAGCCCACUUCCUUCAACAUCUGUGACAAGAAUAGAAUGGGGACCAGCAAGAGGCCCUCCACUUUCAGUGUCUCGUCAAAGUCUGGCUGUUCCUGGUCCUGUCAUAAUAUGGAAAUGGUCCCCUUCUUACUGUGCAAGCCACGCUCACACGUGGAUUAGCCCUUUGAACAUCAAGUUCAUUUCUCUGCUUUUAUUGUUAGUACUUGUAAAUCAGACCCUGCGUACCGCCCAGACAGUUCUGUUUCCAACCGAGAAGACCGACUUAGGAGAGCCUUAAGAGGAAGAGACAUCAAAGCUCAUGAGAGUCAGCUCCCCUACGAAAUGCCAAUCAAGCCAAGCCUGAUCAUGUUUUCCUUUCUUUUAACUAGCAGACUUCAUUGUCCAGCAACUUUCCAAGCACAAUUAUCACUCUAUAGACACUCUAGGCACUUGAAAUCAAUCCCCACAUGUACCCACUGGAAUUACUUUGGAAUAACAAUAGGUUCUGUGGAUAUUUCUCAGUUUAUUUAAGUACCAUUUCCCCAAGGUUAUAGUAUAUAUUUUAUAACUCUAAUAGUUUUAAUGGUAAAUAUAAUGCUAUGAUAACUGAUGUAGUAUAAUGCUAAUAUGUUACAUUUGCAGUGUGUUUUAAAUUUGUUUACAUACUGUGUUAUAGCUACUCUUUUAAAUCAUAAGUGGAGAUUUUCUAUGUGACCAGUGAUAUUUGAGUAAAGAUACUAAAAAUUUCACUGAAAA